Molecule: ribosomal RNA, 464 nt
Filed under: uncultured bacterium
Lineage: Bacteria
Description: bacterial SSU rRNA
Rfam family: Bacterial small subunit ribosomal RNA
Source: RNAcentral
GACGAACGCUGGCGGCGUGCCUAACACAUGCAAGUCGAGCGGUCCGACAUUUAACAUUGAGUAUUCAGUACGAGUUGGCAGAUGAGCCAGCGUCAGGCAGAAAGAUACUUGAGAUCAGAUCAGGUUUUUUGCUUCACGCCAUAUCAAGUGCCGACGCAAAGGCGGACUGAGUAUUGAAUGUUGAAUGUCGGAUAGCGGCGGACGGGUGAGUAACGCGUGGGCAACCUGCCUUUCACAGGGGGAUAACACAGGGAAACUUGUGCUAAUACCGCAUAACAUCAUGUGGGGCAUCUCAUGUGAUCAAAGGAGCAAUCCGGUGAAAGAUGGGCCCGCGUCCAAUUAGCUAGUUGGUGAGGUAAUGGCUCACCAAGGCGACGAUUGGUAGCCGAACUGAGAGGUUGAUCGGCCACAUUGGGACUGAGACACGGCCCAGACUCCUACGGGAGGCAGCAGUGGGGAAUAUU